GGGGACGAAUACUAUCUACUUCUUAAAAUUAUACAAUUUAAGGAAUAAUCUAUUUCAGUGUGCUCAAAUAUUAAUUUUCCUCAAACUAUUUUGGGAUAGUUUCUUUUGUGGCUAAAGUUUGCAUUGGGACAGCAAAAGACGAAAUAGAAAAUGAAUUGCUAAAGGGAUAUAUAACUUUUUUCAUAAGAAUAAAUAUAGUUCAUAAUAAUCUUUAGAAUAAUCUGGCUAUUUUUCAAAUAUUAUAUUUUAUUUUUCCAGAUAAAUUAGAAGUCAUAUUUCUGCAGUAUAGCAGCUAUCUAAUUUCCCAUCUCUAGGGUAUGUGUUUGUUUUUAGAAAAACAUUCCAGCAGGUGGCGCCAACAUCAUAAUAUUUAACCAUGAAACUAUGCCAGGAGUCGGUAGGGAAACGAAAGUUAUUGUUUUAGCCAGAAGGUGGAGCUAGGUGACCAAUGUUUAAAAUCAGUGUCUGCAUUUGAAAUAGAUAACUUCAAUUUUACUGAAUCACAGGAUUUAUAAUCUGAGUAUUGUGAAGAGCAUUGUCUGAAUCCUCUACCUUCCAUACCUUUAAAUUUCAACUUUAAGUGUAUUGUUUUUACAAUUAAAGAAUUCUGGCCCAGCUCAUGAAAGCAAGAAAUACUUUUAUACUCUAAUUUUUAUUAUUCAUAGUCUUUGCAAAAAAGAGAGCAUAUUUAAAUAUUGUUAUUGUACUGUUUCUGUAUAUGUUUGAAGAUUAUACAUUUUUAAAAAGUAUGUACUUAUCAGACACCACUUAAUCCUCUGCUCUUUUCUUUCUAUUUCUCCACUGUGAUUUUCUUAGGAAGAUGAAACACUGAAUUAGGAAAUCUGGGAAACUGCAGACACAUUUUCUAACAUGUUCAAAUCAGGAAAAAAAAGUCAUUCCAUGUGUGCAUUUCAGAAGGCAUUCAUAGCACUGGCUUCACAAUUUCUCCCUUGGACAACCACAAGAGGCAUCCUUAAAACUGUGAGAGAAAACCUAAUACAACUGAUACAAAUAAAGAAAACCCAGCUCCUCACCCCUUGACCUUCCUCACUGUCACCAAAAUCAAUUUUUUGUUGUUUCUGGGUUUUUCUUUUUUAAAUAAAAAUAAUGCAUUGUUUCUUAUUAUCCUGUGGAUUCAAUGGGCUCAGCUGGACCCUUUUGCUGGAUACCAUGAAGGCCAGUUCAUGCAUAGGGCUGCACUCAGCUGACUGUUCCAUCCAAGAUGUCCCCUCAUGUUCCAGGGUCUUAGUAUUUUAAAGUGGUAAUCAUGACCUUUUAAUGAAUCUUGAAAUCAAUUUAAUGGACCAAUUGUAUUAGUCUGUUCUCAGACUGCUAAUAAAGACAUACCCAAGACUGGGUAAUUUAUAAAGGAAAGAGGUUUAAUUGACUCACAAUUCCACAUGGCUGGGGAGGCCUCACAAUCAUGGUAGAAGGAGAAUGAGGAGCAAAGUCACAUCUUAUAUGGCAGCAGACAGGAGAGCUUGUGCAGGGAACUCCCAUGUAUAUAACCAUCAGAUUUGUGAGACUUAUUCACUACCAUGAGAACAGCAUGGAGGAAACUGCCCCCAUGAUUCAAUUAUCUCCACCUGGCCCUGCUCUUGACAUGUGGG
Papio anubis (olive baboon) is the source of this 1610-nucleotide long non-coding RNA. The record is from Ensembl. NCBI's taxonomy places the organism in Eukaryota, Metazoa, Chordata, Mammalia, Primates, Cercopithecidae.